AUCCCAUGGUGAGGACAAGUCAUGGUGUAAUCUUGGAGCCUCUCCCAUGCCUCUGGCAUCGGCUCAUUGUUGGCUUGCUGGAAACAUGAAAUUCUCCAACAAAGGGU
Non-coding RNA from Oryza barthii, 107 nucleotides. The record is from Rfam. NCBI's taxonomy places the organism in Eukaryota, Viridiplantae, Streptophyta, Magnoliopsida, Poales, Poaceae.